UAUGUCUCGCAACGUUUUCGCAGCCCUUGGUAAUUUCUGUACCAGCUAUCGAACGGCAUCCUCGAUCAUCAUAGAGGGAUCAGCUGUUCGAGGGUUUGCCACUAAAAUUUCGCCAAGAGUUAAUGAUCCAGUGCAGAUGGCGCAAAACCAGGCAGAUUCUAAAUCCACGCUGAAGGUCGAGCUUCCGGAACGAUUGAAAGGAUUGGAUAAAAAUGUUUGGGUUGAGUAUACUGGUUUAGCAGCGCAGCAUAAAGCAGUUAACUUAGGACAGGGAUUUCCCGAUUUUCCACCUCCGGAAUAUGUCACGAAAGCCUUAGCAGAAGCCACCGAUGGCGCGAAUCACAUGCUGAAUCAGUACACUCGCGGAUAUGGUCAUCUGCGCUUGGUCAAAAUCUUGGCGGAAGUGUUUAGUAAGAUCCACAGUCGUCCCAUUGAUCCGUUGACCGAAGUUCUGGUCACCGUUGGCGCUUAUCAGUCGCUAUUUUGCGCCAUUAUGGGUUUCGUGAACCCUGGAGAUGAAGUUAUUAUAAUCGAACCAUACUUUGACUGCUACGAACCGAUGGUGCGGUAUGCUGGAGGUGUGCCGGUUUUUGUUCCCCUUCGACCAAGCAAACAGGGUGAACUAAUGCACAGUGCCGAAUGGACACUGGAUAUGAAGGAGCUCGAGUCGAAAUUCAGCAGCAAGACGAAACUGAUUAUUUUGAACACUCCAAAUAAUCCACUGGGAAAAGUGUUUACUCGUCAGGAAUUGCAGGAGAUUGCUGAAUUAUGCGUGCGCAAGAACAUCUUCGUUAUCAGCGAUGAAGUUUAUGAAUGGUUGGUGUUUAAUCCUUCCCAGCACAUCCGCAUUGCGGACUUUCCCGGAAUGUGGGAACGAACAGUGACGAUUCGCUCUGCCGGGAAAACAUUUUCCGUGACGGGUUGGAAAUUAGGCUGGUCAAUUGGGCCGGCCAGCUUGAUCCGCAACUGCCAAGUGAUGUAUCAAAACGUUACUUACACGUCCGCCACACCGUUACAAGAGGCGGUGGCAGUAGGUUUCGAGAUUGAAAUGAAGCGCCUCGGCUCGCCAGAAUGUUACUUCUUAGAACUUCCAGCCAUGUUGAAAGGGAAGCGUGACAGAAUGGCACAGAUGCUGAUUGAUACUGGAUUCAUUCCGACGGUCCCAGAAGGAGGAUAUUUUAUGUUGGCCGAUUAUUCGAAAAUUAAAAAUAGUCCUAAACUGCAGAGUGGCGAUGAACCCAGAGAUGUUCAGUUUGUCAAGUGGAUGACAGUGGAAAAGAAGUUGGCCACUAUCCCUGUUAGUGCGUUUUACUCCCAAGAGCACAAACAUCUAGCGGAAGAUUAUAUUCGAUUCUGCUUCUGCAAGAACGACGAUACGCUCGGAAAAACGGAAAAGAUCCUGACUGAAUGGAUGAAGGAAACAAGCCAGUGAUUUCGUUUGCCUUUCAUUUCCAUUAAACUAAAGAAUCAGGUCUAAAACUACCAGAGAAGCCGUACCCGACCAUACGUUCCAAGGAAAAUUUCCGGUCGUGAUCCGCCAUUUCCAGAAACAAUAUCACAGCUGGUAACGACAUCAAAGUGUUUGCUUUUUGGGAGUACAACGGACUUUGGACGAAGCUCUGCCGACACAUUCCUGUCAAAGAGUUUCCGGUUAUGCGUUUGCUCUAAUUAUAAGCUUUGCACUGACUUACAGGUAUAUGAUGGCCACUUCCAACAAUCCAAUCACCAACAAAUGGACUUUAUUGCCAUCCUGAAAGAAUCUCAUACGAGAUGUCAUGGAAUCGUGCCGCACUUCCCACAUCGGAUACCAUUCUACGAUGCAAUGCCAUUCGUUUUAUUAUGGCGAAUAUAUUACCAUACAAGACUGCACCAUCCUUCUGCCUCGGUAAAUACGCCAGACACACAACAAGAUCCACGCAUCCUGGCACGGAAGGAUCAGCCGUUUUGACGCUCAUCGCUCCCACUUUCCAGGGUUUCUCCAGAGGAAAUGAACUGAUUAGGGCGCUCUUGGGCACCACCACCAAUUCGUCGCCUCCCACAUCUUCCUCAUGGAAGUACGCACAACGCAUGCUGUCAUCGCGGCACGCAGCCAGCACGCGAUUCCCAGUAACAUUGGUGCGCGGCAGCAGCAGCGUCUGCGACGGUCCCGACUGAGCGCUCAAAGGGAACGUGUGCACCAACAGCAUCCGCCCGUUGGGACUGGAACUGGAUCCGGGGUUGUUGCUGAAAGCGGAGGAUCGCGGUCGCGAAUUCAUUUGUGCCGCGUCGUCCGCGGAUGAGCGACGUGACUGUGGAUUGGUGGACGGCAAGAAGAAAUGGACAUCGCGCUCGCGCGUCUCUUCGUUUUCCGCUUCGUGUUCAAUUUCUUCUAAAAGAAUGUGACUGGCGCUGCUACGCGCUGGAUACUGGCUGCUUGGGGGAAUGUCCAUCUGCAAAGCACGGAGACGAAGUUUCUGACAAUAACCAGCGAGAGGUUUUUGGAAUACCCACCUGCUACAAGAAAUG
RNA transcript from Paramacrobiotus metropolitanus, 2505 nucleotides. It is a transcript of the gene named kynurenine aminotransferase-like, with no coding region annotated. The record is from RefSeq and is a predicted model, not a curated record. The transcript is spliced from 11 exons. NCBI's taxonomy places the organism in Eukaryota, Metazoa, Tardigrada, Eutardigrada, Parachela, Macrobiotidae.